GCCCAUUCUCUAGGACCAUGUCCUUGCUGCUCCCAGCUACCUUUCCUGCUUCUCCUAGGCUCAGACUUGACUGUUUUGGACUUGGGGCUGAGCUCCCUGCUGUGCUGCAGGCUCAACCAGCAUCCUGCAAGAGAGAUGAUCCCACACCUGGCUCUCCCCGCUGCCUCUCUGCCCAACCUGGAGCUUUGCAGCCCUGCUGUCCUGGAUGGCAGGGAGUUGCUUAAAAUGAAAAACUGAUCAGAGUGAACAGCUGAAAACCGGUUUGCAUAAGUCACAGUUAUUAUUCAGAUAUUACAAUGCAAGGCAGUGAGAGCUCUGCAUACUCGCAUGGAAGCAUUUAAAUAUAAAGCUGAGUACUUCCAACCCCAAACAAUCCCUGCAGCCUGCCAACAGGCGAGAAUCUUACUGGAAUACACAUAAAUCAUCGUGUUUCUGACAAAUCCUGAAGAAGCAGGGGGAGGGGG
RNAcentral lists this long non-coding RNA (464 nucleotides) under Numida meleagris (helmeted guineafowl). Its description in RNAcentral is "lncRNA (ENSNMEG00000009667.1)". Lineage: Eukaryota; Metazoa; Chordata; Aves; Galliformes; Numididae. The record is from RNAcentral.